UACAGGGGGGGCAAGCGUUGUUCGGAAUUACUGGGCGUAAAGGGCUCGUAGGCGGCCAACUAAGUCCGACGUGAAAUCCCAAAGCUUAACUUUGGAACUGCGUCGGAUACUGGAUGGCUUGAAUUCGGGAGAGGGAUGCAGAAUUCCAGGUGUAGCGGUGAAAUGCGUAGAUAUCUGGAGGAAUACCGGUGGCGAAGGCGGCAUCCUGGACCGGCAUUGACGCUGAGGAGCGAAAGCCAGGGGAGCAAACGGG
RNAcentral lists this ribosomal RNA (253 nucleotides) under uncultured bacterium. RNAcentral describes it as "partial 16S ribosomal RNA". It matches the Rfam family "Bacterial small subunit ribosomal RNA", at positions 524 to 776 of the family's 1533-position model. The record is from RNAcentral.